This 157-nucleotide ribosomal RNA is filed under the name Pichia fermentans. Its description in RNAcentral is "5.8S ribosomal RNA". It matches the Rfam family "5.8S ribosomal RNA". From Rfam's summary of the family: 5.8S ribosomal RNA (5.8S rRNA) is a component of the large subunit of the eukaryotic ribosome. It is transcribed by RNA polymerase I as part of the 45S precursor that also contains 18S and 28S rRNA. Functionally, it is thought that 5.8S rRNA may be involved in ribosome translocation. RNAcentral also lists the same sequence under 1 other name. The record is from RNAcentral. Lineage: Eukaryota; Fungi; Ascomycota; Pichiomycetes; Pichiales; Pichiaceae.
AAACUUUCAACAACGGAUCUCUUGGUUCUCGCAUCGAUGAAGAGCGCAGCGAAAUGCGAUACCUAGUGUGAAUUGCAGCCAUCGUGAAUCAUCGAGUUCUUGAACGCACAUUGCGCCCGCUGGUAUUCCGGCGGGCAUGCCUGUCUGAGCGUCGUUU